UAGAGACAUCCACUCAUCUGAAUCUAAGCAUGCCGGACAACUGGCCAUGAAGAACAAGCAAGAUGAGCUCUCAACCUCCUCUUACCUUAGGAAAACUAAAUGCAAACCAACGAGGGGAGGAGCUCCCACAGCACAGAGCAAAAGUAAGACACUGUCUCAUAAAUCCAAAGUUGAGAAGACACAAAGCCUUCACAGAGCAGGAAGGGCUGAGGGAGAAUGGCACUUCUCAGAGAAAGCAGUUCUUAGUAGGUUGUGGGGUCCCACAGACAGGCAUGAGACGGAGCCUACGACUUCAAUGAUUAAAGCAACUGAAAAGCUA
This 319-nucleotide long non-coding RNA is filed under the name Rattus norvegicus (Norway rat). Its description in RNAcentral is "long non-coding RNA NONRATT026213". Lineage: Eukaryota; Metazoa; Chordata; Mammalia; Rodentia; Muridae. The record is from RNAcentral.